GAGAGGAAGGUCCCCCACACUGGUACUGAGACACGGACCAGGCUCCUACGGGAGGCAGCAGUGAGGAAUAUUGGUCAAUGGGCGGAAGCCUGAACCAGCCAAGUAGCGA
This 109-nucleotide ribosomal RNA is filed under the name uncultured bacterium. Its description in RNAcentral is "partial 16S ribosomal RNA". It matches the Rfam family "Bacterial small subunit ribosomal RNA", at positions 294 to 402 of the family's 1533-position model. The record is from RNAcentral.